AUUGAACGCUGGCGGCAGGCCUAACACAUGCAAGUCGAGCGGAUGAAGGGAGCUUGCUCCUGGAUUCAGCGGCGGACGGGUGAGUAAUGCCUAGGAAUCUGCCUGGUAGUGGGGGAUAACGUCCGGAAACGGGCGCUAAUACCGCAUACGUCCUGAGGGAGAAAGUGGGGGAUCUUCGGACCCCACGCUAUCAGAUGAGCCUAGGUCGGAUUAGCUAGUUGGUGGGGUAAAGGCCUACCAAGGCGACGAUCCGUAACUGGUCUGAGAGGAUGAUCAGUCACACUGGAACUGAGACACGGUCCAGACUCCUACGGGAGGCAGCAGUGGGGAAUAUUGGACAAAGGGCGAAAGCCUGAUCCAGCCAUGCCGCGUGUGUGAAGAAGGUCUUCGGAUUGUAAAGCACGUUAAGUUGGGAGGAAGGGCAGUAAGUUAAUACCUUGCUGUUUUGACGUUACCAACAGAAUAAGCACCGGCUAACUUCGUG
RNAcentral lists this ribosomal RNA (484 nucleotides) under uncultured bacterium. Its description in RNAcentral is "partial 16S ribosomal RNA". It matches the Rfam family "Bacterial small subunit ribosomal RNA", at positions 30 to 507 of the family's 1533-position model. The record is from RNAcentral.